RNAcentral lists this transfer RNA (83 nucleotides) under Schistocephalus solidus. It matches the Rfam family "tRNA". From Rfam's summary of the family: Transfer RNA (tRNA) molecules are approximately 80 nucleotides in length. Their secondary structure includes four short double-helical elements and three loops (D, anti-codon, and T loops). Lineage: Eukaryota; Metazoa; Platyhelminthes; Cestoda; Diphyllobothriidea; Diphyllobothriidae. The record is from Rfam by way of RNAcentral.
GGCCUCGUAGCCCAGUUGGUUAGAGCAUUGGCCAUACCAAAGCAUUCCCCUUGCUGGCGUGGGUUCAAAUCCCACCGAGGCCG